This is a non-coding RNA of Salvelinus sp. IW2-2015, 1258 nucleotides long. Lineage: Eukaryota; Metazoa; Chordata; Actinopteri; Salmoniformes; Salmonidae. The record is from RefSeq and is a predicted model, not a curated record.
UGCACGACACAGCUGAUUUUGUCAUUGGCAAAAUGAUCACACAUCAGCCAGGAACAUUUCCUACACAGAAGACGACAGGAAGUCGAAAUGCUCUGAACCUGUGGAGAUCCCUAAUUUCUUCCUCUCAUCUUACCACAUGGAGGCUUUGAUGAGAGCUCAACACGUAACACCCAUCUUCCCCCUUGCCUCUUCUGACCCAAAAUAGAGCUCUCUUAGACAUGAGAUUCUCUCUCGGCGCGUUCCUCAUCCCAGGCCAAAUAUACCACCAUCGUCCGUGAAGACAAGAGACCAAGAGAAUAGCAAAGAUAUUUGCAUMUCAUUUUAAGGACGAACAUUAGCACUAUAUGAAUAUGGUAUAUGAAUGACCACACAUCUUGAUUACAUAAGUGGCUGCUCAUGUACAGUGCUUUCUAAUUAUGUAAAGAAUAUGUGCAUUUAAUUUAAAUAUUGUUUUUAUUAAUUAAAUGGUUUGCCAGUGUAACUGAUGUUUUUCUGUGUAUUUAUUAUUGCUGUGCACCCAUGAUCACGGACGUGGGAGACUCCCAUAGCCUUUCAAGGAUUGUCACAGGGGAAAACAUUUUGUCAAGUAGUCAACAGGAUAUCAAGUAUUGACAAACCUGUCUAGUUGUCCUUGUUUUUCCAACAAAGUGAUGAACAGUUUGUUCUUAAAGUGAUGUCACCUUUGUUUGGAUUUCUGCAGGUGUCGGGGUUAGUGGGCUAGUGUUCUAUUCUCUGCGUCCCAAGGCAGUCACACACUAUUCAAGAGACACUUCUGUUCCUGAUACCAGAGACUGCUCAGGCACACAGCCGAUCAGGGACAUGUAUGGAUUGGCUGAGUAGAUGGGUGGCCACACCACUAUUAUGGAGUGUUACAUAAUUAUUAUAAAGUUUAAGUUGAGUCUGUGCUAUUUCAACUAGACUUAUUCCCUUGGCUCCCUGCUGCAAAUUAAAUUCAUUGUUUGUAAGACCUUCUACGGUGUCUUGCAAAUCUGUUUGGUCAGUAUUACUGAAGGUUACCAAUGACAUAAUACAUGACGUAUCUUAACUUUUUGACAGAACUAAAUGCAUGUUUUUUUAAGGUUCAACAGAACAUUGACUGUUAUGAUCUGUGAAACUGACAUAAUUUAGCAUAAUGUGUUAUACUGCCUUAGACCACUGCGCCACUCAAGUAUGGUCAUUGCAAUGUAGCCCGUGUGGCUCAGUUGGUAGAGCAUGGYGCUUGCAACGCCAGGGUUGUGGGUUCAUUCCCCACGGGGGG